CUAUGCGCUAUUUAGUGGCAAACGGGUGAGUAACACGUAGCUUAGCUGUCCUAAAGUGGGGGAUAGCCGCGGGAAGCCGCGGGUAAUACCGCAUGUGAUCUACGGAUUAAAGCUUAAUGCGCUUUAGGAGGUGGCUGCGGCCCAUCAGGUUGUUGGCGGGGUAAUGGCCCACCAAGCCUAUGACGGGUAUCCGGCCUGAGAGGGUGAUCGGACACAUUGGAACUGAGACACGGUCCAGACUCCUACGGGAGGCAGCAGCUAGGAAUUUUCCGCAAUGGACGAAAGUCUGACGGAGCAACGCCGCGUGAAGGAUGAAGGUCUUUAGGGAUUGUAAACUUCUUUUAUAUGAGACGAGUAAGGACGGUAUCAUAAGAAUAAGUCCCGGCUAACUACGUGCCAGCAGCCGCGGUAAUACGUAGGGGGCUAGCGUUGUUCGGAAUUACUGGGUAUAAAGGGUGCGCAGGCGGAUUUCUAAGCAAGAGGUGAAAUGUCAAGGCUCAACCAUGGCACUGCCUUU
Molecule: ribosomal RNA, 517 nt
Filed under: uncultured bacterium
Lineage: Bacteria
Description: bacterial SSU rRNA
Rfam family: Bacterial small subunit ribosomal RNA
Source: RNAcentral